Molecule: ribosomal RNA, 253 nt
Filed under: uncultured bacterium
Lineage: Bacteria
Description: partial 16S ribosomal RNA
Rfam family: Bacterial small subunit ribosomal RNA
Source: RNAcentral
UACAGAGGGUGCGAGCGUUGUCCGGAAUCACUGGGCGUAAAGGGCGCGUAGGCGGCCUGGUAAGCGUGCGGUGAAAGCCCGGGGCUCAACUCCGGAAUUGCCUUUAAAACUGCAUCGCUAGAAUUGUGGAGAGGUAAGUGGAAUUCCGAGUGUAGAGGUGAAAUUCGUAGAUAUUCGGAAGAACACCAGUGGCGAAGGCGACUUACUGGACACAUAUUGACGCUGAGGUGCGAAAGCGUGGGGAGCAAACAGG